Peziza echinospora is the source of this 79-nucleotide non-coding RNA. Lineage: Eukaryota; Fungi; Ascomycota; Pezizomycetes; Pezizales; Pezizaceae. The record is from the annotation of a GenBank genome assembly.
GCCCGCUUGGCUCAAUGGCAGAGCAUCAGGCACGUGUACACGUGCCUGAAGAUCGCAAGUUCGAUUCUUGCAUCGGGCU